Molecule: long non-coding RNA, 6606 nt
Organism: Syngnathoides biaculeatus (alligator pipefish)
Lineage: Eukaryota; Metazoa; Chordata; Actinopteri; Syngnathiformes; Syngnathidae
Exons: 5
Source: RefSeq, a predicted model, not a curated record
GUUUUGUUCUUUCAAGAAUCCUAGAAACUAGAAUUCCUCAAAUAAAAUAAGAUUUUAAGAGUACUUUUGAGAAAAAAAAAAAUCAAAGAGGUUCGACCACUUUUGAUAAAAGACAAUUUGAAUCAAAAUGCAGGGAGAGUUUCAUAAGGAAAGUGAAUGGUUCGAUUUGCGGCAAAUACCAAGCCAUUCUGUAUGUUAUGUGUGUUUUGUCAUUUAUUUGUGUAAUAUGAAUUUAAUGAGUAUUUGUUUUCUUUUGUAUAUAGUUCUGAAUGAGAAAGAACAAUUGAAAGAAUGGAUGAGGGAAAUGUGAGAAUGGAUGGUUUCCUCCAAUGUCUUUAACUGCGUGUUUGGUGACAUUAAUGAGGGAAACGGAAAAAGCUUGUGCUAAAAGAGCGGCAGCUCUUAAAUUGGAAGUGGAAAAAACUAAUAGGUUGUCUCCAAAAGGUAGAAAGGUGAGAGAGAAUGCUGAGAAAGUUGUGGAAAUGAAAGCGAGAGCAAGGAUGAUGGCGAUGGGAUGUGCGUUAAAGUUGUCCCAUUUGGCUGUCAAGGAAGAGAGUGUUGGUCUGGUACCUUCAACACCCAAAGUGCCCUCUGCGCCGCCUCCUUAGUUGGAGGAGAAACAUCUUUUGGCAUUGUCUCCAAAUGACUCAUGUGUACCACCUUACCAUGACGCCAGGAAAUUCCAGGCUCCAGUGUUGAAUGUAACUGCCGGUCGACUUGAAGUAGAUGUAGAUGAUCAAACGCCUCUCACUCACUCACAAAAAACAUCAAACAUGAAUACGGUUGCAGUAACUCUGGCUGCUGAAGUGACCGCCGCCAGUAAAGAAUUAGAAGGAAAAUUGGACAAAGUUGUAGAUUUGAGAGCUGACCCAUUUACACGUUUGAAUCGGCUAGGAAUGUACAAGGCGGAAUUAAAUAGACAUCAAGAGGUUCCACAAAAUAUUAGAGAUCAACUUGAGAGAAUCACCACUGAACAUGAAAACAGAGCGAACGCUGAAGUGGAGGAGCAGAAAUGUGCCCUCCGCACAGAAUAAGAAGCAGCCCGACUGAAGAGAGAACAGGAAUUUGCUGUCUACCCUGGUAGAGGCCCUUCAAGUGGGGAAGUGGAAAACAGGUUGUACAUUAACAGUUACAGAACCAAAUAACAGAAUUAAAGUGUCAUGUCCAGAAUCUUUCAGGUUCCCUCCUCGACUCUGUUCAGGAUCAAACUGGAAGUCCUGAAGACCCCGAGAAAUCUUCCGAAGGUCCAGCUUCUCCUCAUCGGCCUGUGACACGUUCCCAAAUCUAACAGGCUCCCAUGUUGGCCAAAGUUGAUCCGGCUACUGGUAACUCUGCUAUGUUUUACAAACCUUUCUCUCCCACUGAUGUGAGUCUGCUGAUCCAGAAACUGCCACCUAUGCGAUCUCGUGCUGUAAACUGGCUUCAAGCAGUGCAGAGAGUGGUUCCGGGACAAAUGUUAACAGCAGGUGAUAUCCAUGUCCUUCUUACACAAUCAUCUCCACUUUCAUAGUUGAAUAGUCUGAUGCAAAAUUCAGGUUUUUCUUCUCUCCCCGAUCAUCAGGCUCUUACACGAGAAAAUUAUUUGACCUUGUCUACAGCACUGGACGCUUUGUUUCCACUUCCCGAGUGUGUUAUCUCAGAUAUGGUGUUUGCUCCCAAAGCAGAUGAGGAGGACGCGGCUUUUGUUGACCGUGCCCUCACUGAUUAUUCUCUGAAAACAGGACACGCUCCUACGGCCUCUGCCUUGCAUUCGCAAGUGUUCCGAGCAGCUAUUUUGAAGGGCGUUCCCAAGUCUGUGGCGCAGGACAUGGAGGCCAAUCCAGACCUUCCUGGUGCUGAGGUUGACCGGUGGUUGUCACAUCUUAAACAUCAUUUGAGGAGAUAUGCUAAAGAGAAAAAAUCUAAGGUAAACAAACACAAAAGUACAGAAACACAACUUGCUAUGUUGCAGUUGCAAUAUCUGAAAAAUCAGGAAGAAGCCACUCAUGCUGUGAUCUCAUCUCCCUCUGUCGGUUCCGAGUGCAUGAUGUAUCAAGCAGGUUCAUUCAUAGGUCGAGGUGCGCCCCCUGGUGGUCGUGACAUGUGCUUCAAUUGUGGACGGCUUGGUCAUUGGGCCCGCGCUUGCAGACAGCGACCUCAAGUGUCCGGAUGGAGAGGCAGAGGCAGAGGCCAACAACCUGCAUGUGGCUACAAUCGACGAGGUUACAACCAAUCCCGAGAGGGAGGACAUCUUGGACAGCACCAGCAGCUACCGCAGCAGUAACAGAGAUAUCCCUCAGUGCCAAACCAGCAGUAUCUACCACCCUCUGGUGGACAGUUUCCGCAAUGAUGGUGCCCUGAAUUCGCAUGUUUAGGCCUGCAGGAGCCUUUGAUGAUCCUGACGAAAAACCAUCUCACUUGUUGGAUUCAAGGGUGAAGAAACUGCCCUGCAAUUGACCACUCCGGUGACUGUUCAAUGUUUUUCACAGACUUUUUGCAUUCUUUUGUGUUUGCACCUAACUGUCCAGUCAAUCUUUUGGGCAGAGAUCUCCACAUCGCCACGUGCCCUCUCAUUAAAUGCAGCCCUGAUGGAUUUAUCCUGGAAUUUCCGGAUGGUAACACGUACUGCUGCUCUGCCGCCUGUGCCACCUCCCAGUUUCCGCUUGUUGAACAACGCACUGUGGCAUGCGCCACUGCUGACAUCUAUUGGGCAAGAGUGGAUAUUGACUCCAGUGGUUGGCUCGAGGCUAAGCACUUUUGGACUCUCUGGUCACCUUGGGUCCGUAAUCUCAGAUCUUAUGAUAUAGUAACUGAUUGUAUGCAUUGCACUCUGUACUAUGACAGAUCAGGAGAAGAGAUCUAUAGCGAGGCAUUUCAGGACAUUGAUAACAUAUGGGAAUUGAACAUGGUGAUUUGUUUGUGGGCAAACCAGUUGUUGCCUUUUCGUUGUUUUUGUCUCCUGAACAACUCGAAUGGUAUAAGAUGGCGGAUCCUCCGGAUCCUUCUAUGCCUCCUUGUCACCCACAUGUCUCCUUGAUGGUUUCGCCUCAGCACACAGCGAAGGAUCUUGGUCCGUUUGUCCUGACAUGCACACAGGCCACAGAUUGGCAAAAUUCAUUUCACUCUCAAUUGCUCUAUUCAUCAUCCCUUGAUGCUUAUUGGAUUCAGUCUAACACAUUUUUGACAACUUCUGUUUUGGAGCACCAGUUUCUGGAUAGGCACCAUGGACGUGAAACAACCGACAGUGACUUUGCUGGUCAACUUCUUGAUUCCCUUCCUGCGUCGCUGUGGUCUACGAAUCCCACUGACGUUAGUCUCUGCAAUGUCUCACCUGUUGCGUUUCUGAUGAAACCAGGAUGAAUAUAUGUUCCCCAAUACUCUGUAAAAGAGGCUGGGAUGGUUGGCAUUUCGGACACAAUUGACGGCCUGCUCAAAGCAGGGUGUUAUGUGAAAUUCCUGAAUCUGAUUAUAACACACCAAUUUUACCGGUUGAAAAGAAAGACACUGGAAAGUUUCGCAUGGUCCAUGACCUGCGAGCAAUUAAUGCGGCUGUUUUAACUCCCACUUUGCCAGUCCCGAACCCUCACUCGACACUGUCCCAAAUUACAUCAGCCCACACUCAUUUCACUUGCAUUGACUUGGCUAAUGCUUUCUUUUGCAUUCCUCUCCAUCCUUCAAUGAGGCAUUUUUUUGCUUUCACUUGGAAUGGUGUUUGUUACUCCUACAAUCGCAUGCCUCAAGGUUUUGUCCUUUCCCCCGGACUCUUCAACAACUGUCUUCGUCAGUUGCUGUCUCCGCUUGAAUUGCUAAUGGAGUUCUCCUGGUGCAGUAUGUGGAUGACCUCUUGCUGGCAGCUCCAUCUGAAACUUCUUGUCUUGAAGCCACCAGGUCUUUGCUCUCUCAUUUGGCCUCUGUUGGUCUGAAGUGUUCCAAGUCCAAACUUCAGAUUGCCCGACCACAGGUUUCCUUUCUCGGACGACUGAUCUCACGCCACACCACAGGAAUGUCUCCCUCUCACAAAGAUGACAUCCUUCAUCACCCAAAACCAAUGAAUGUCAAAACCAUGCUGGCCUUUCUUGGUCUUUGCAACUACUCCAGACAUCAUAUUCCAGACUUUGCUGACCUUACUUACCCGCUCCGAAAGAUGGUAAAUGACCAGCGUAUGCGGAACCUUUCUAAUAUUCUUUGUUGGACCACGGAAGCAGAUACUUCCUUCAUUUCCUUGAAACAGCAUCUUUCCGCUGCUGCGGCUCUUGCAAUUCCUGAUUACAACCGCAUGUUUUAUCUAGACUCAUCUGAAAAGGUCAGCAGUUUGUCUGCUGCCCUUUAUCAGAAAAGGGAAGGAGGAAGUCAAGUCUGCAUCCACUACAUUGGAAAAAUACGAGCAAAGACAUCCAAUAUGUGCAAUAAGUCCAAGCUGUAAGAAUUUUAGGCUCACAGUCAGACAGUCAGCACAAAGCACAAAGAGCAGAAAUUUUGGCAUUGACAGCAGCUCUCAGGUUAGCAGAAAACCACUCAGUAAACAUUUACACAGAUUCAGCGUAUGCACACAUGACAGUUCAUGUUGCAUUAAAAGAAUGGCAGCAAAACAAUUUCCAAACUGCAACCGGUACACCCAUUAAAACAUCAAGACGACAUUCUCAAAUUGCGAGACGCGUCACUGCUCCCAACAGCGGUAGCAGUAAUAAAAUGCAAAGGUCACUCUCGAACUAAUGAUUUUGUAUCAGCAGGUAACGAAUCAGCAGAUCAAGCAGCAAAAAAGGCUGCAGGGUACCGACCAACACUCCAACUAAUUGUAAGUGAGUCUGAAUGUGAAAAUCAACAGGAGGUGACAGUAGAAACAGUGAAGGUGUGGCAGGAAAAGGCAAGUCCAGAAGAAAAGAGUAUGUGGAAGUCGAAAGGGGGUGUCAAAGAUGAGGAUGGCAUAUGGCGAAAAGAAGAUAAAUGCAUUCCAUCUCGGACACAAUUGAAAAAUCUAAUUUCUGAACCCCAUGGAACAUGCCAUGUAGGUGUGGAUGAAACAUUGAGACGACUCCACUCCUGGUGGCAUCCUUUUUUGAGACAAAUUGUUAAAGGUGAACUGCAGGACUGCAGCUUUUGCAGUAGGUAUAACAGUAUGCCUACAACAAAACCACCGCAGGGAGUCCACGAUCCGGACGUGGACGCUCCUGGUCAGGUGAUUUCAAUGGAUUUUACUGACAUGAUUAAAACAGUGUCAGGUUACCGGUAUUUGCUAGUUAUAGUAGAUUAUUUUUCAGGAUGGCCAGAAGCAUAUCCCUGCAAAUCUGAAACAGUGAGCGUAGUGGUAAAACAUUUGGUUAAUCAUUACAUUCCAACGAACGGGUUCCCUAAGGAAAAUUAGAUCAGACAAUGGAACUCAUUUCAAAAACAAACAUCUCCAGGCUGUAGAAAAAACAUUAGGUUUGAAACAUCUAUGUGGUUAAAAGUGAUUAAACGACAAUGGUCUGAACCUAGGUGGACAGGUCCCUUUCAAGUUACUGAGUGGACAGCCACAGCAGUACGUCUUGAAGGAAAGGGGGACACGUGAUACCACAUCUCGUCCACACGACCCACCAGGUCCGCAUCAGGCUCAGCAAUCCCUCCACCUGACGACAACCGGAAAACCGCGUCUCCAGUGUCGGCUGGCACCCUUUCAUGACAUCAUUAUACAAGGGUUGAUUUCACGGUACAUGGGCACAAUAAUCCCAGUGAAUCAACCUGGGACCAGGCAGUCUAACCCCAAGGUCCUGAAGAAGCCAACUGCACCCCAGCUCGACUCAAUCCCAGAGGAAAAGAUAGCUGUGUCAGCGAUUGAUUACUGCCGCCAUUGAGAAUGGAUGAAUUGCUCCCCCUUCAGGCCCAAUGCACCAGCCCCUCCCGGUUUCAGGUGUCGGACUCUUUCGAGUCCGAAAGGGGGAUUGAAGUGUGUCUUCUGUUCUUUGUGUGUAUAACUCGUUUGAAGCAUGCCAACUCAUCAGAUAACCUUAAGUGAAUCUUGCUGAAAUGUUUACUAUAGACCAGGACGUAGGAAUAUGCCCGUUAUUACCAGAUAGAUGUGGUUUAGUCAUUAUGAUUGCCAGAAGGGUCCACAUCACAAAAGAAUGCUGCAAGUUCUUUGUAUCUUUGCACUUCUGAUCUGCUACAGCCAUUGUCUGUCACUCAUUUGUGCCCAGAAUAUUCUCUAACAUAAAUUGGUUAUGGUACCCACCCAACUUCCUUGGGGCAGAAUAAGACGGCUAUAGUACAAGGGAUCAAGUUCCGAAAAAAAAAGGGCUGAUGCUGCUGACUGAGAUAAGGUACACCAGCAGGCAUCAAGACCAUAGAGCAGCACAAUACGAGGACAUCGACAUUGUACAGAUAAAAUAUCUGGCCGACUUCAUUGUCCUUGAAUAGAAGGUGACGGAAGACCCUUCUGCUUCUGCAGAGCAGCUAUAAUUAAAAAUUCCAAAUGUUGAUGGGGAAACCUCAAGGAAAAUAUCAAAUGGAUCCUGAAAAGACUGUGUCUUGAGAAGCCACGAGGGGAUCCUGAGUGAUUUACAAAGUGCAGCCACGUCAUGCCUGAAAUAUGAGCCUGACAGAUGGUAGUGGCAGACAACAGGACGGGAGGAACCAGGAUGGACAGUAAAU